UACAGAGGGUGCAAGCGUUGCUCGGAUUUACUGGGCGUAAAGCGUACGCAGACGGUGAGAAAGGUCGGAUGUGAAAGCCCCGGGCUCAACCCGGGAACUGCAUCCGAAACCAUCUCGCUAGAGUAUGAGAGAGGGAAGCAGAAUUCCUGGUGUAGAGGUGAAAUUCGUAGAUAUUCGCAAGAACACCAGUGGCGAAGGCGGCUCACUGGCCCGAUACUGACGCUGAGGCACGAAAGCGUGGGGAGCAAACAGG
Molecule: ribosomal RNA, 253 nt
Filed under: uncultured bacterium
Lineage: Bacteria
Description: partial 16S ribosomal RNA
Rfam family: Bacterial small subunit ribosomal RNA
Source: RNAcentral